Molecule: ribosomal RNA, 854 nt
Filed under: Metarhizium anisopliae
Lineage: Eukaryota; Fungi; Ascomycota; Sordariomycetes; Hypocreales; Clavicipitaceae
Description: partial large subunit ribosomal RNA
Rfam family: Eukaryotic large subunit ribosomal RNA
Source: RNAcentral
AAGAAACCACCAGGGAUUGCCCCAGUAACGGCGAGUGAAGCGGCAACAGCUCAAAUUUGAAAUCUGGUCCCCAGGGCCCGAGUUGUAAUUUGCAGAGGAUGCUUUUGGUGAGGUGCCUUCCGAGUUCCCUGGAACGGGACGCCAUAGAGGGUGAGAGCCCCGUCUGGUUGGAUACCGAGCCUCUGUAAAGCUCCUUCGACGAGUCGAGUAGUUUGGGAAUGCUGCUCUAAAUGGGAGGUAUAUGUCUUCUAAAGCUAAAUAUUGGCCAGAGACCGAUAGCGCACAAGUAGAGUGAUCGAAAGAUGAAAAGCACUUUGAAAAGAGGGUUAAAUAGUACGUGAAAUUGUUGAAAGGGAAGCACUUAUGACCAGACUUGGCCCCGGUGAAUCAUCCAGCGGUUCCCGUUGGUGCACUUUGCCGGGGUUCAGGCCAGCAUCAGUUCGCUCCGGGGGAUAAAGGCUUUGGGAAUGUGGCUCCCUCGGGAGUGUUAUAGCCCAUUGCGCAAUACCCUGUGGCGGGCUGAGGUUCGCGCUUUAUGCAAGGAUGCUGGCAUAAUGGUCAUCAGUGACCCGUCUUGAAACACGGACCAAGGAGUCGUCUUCGUAUGCGAGUGUUCGGGUGUUAAACCCCUACGCGUAAUGAAAGUGAACGCAGGUGAGAGCCCUCCAGGGCGCAUCAUCGACCGAUCCUGAUGUUCUCGGAUGGAUUUGAGUAAGAGCAUACGGGGCCGGACCCGAAAGAAGGUGAACUAUGCCUGUAUAGGGUGAAGCCAGAGGAAACUCUGGUGGAGGCUCGCAGCGGUUCUGACGUGCAAAUCGAUCGUCAAAUAUGGGCAUGGGGGCGAAAGACUAAUC